GUGAAAUUGUUGAAAGGGAAGCGCUUGCAAUCAGACUUGCGUGCGGUUGAUCAUCCGGGCUUCUGCCCGGUGCACUCGAUCGUACUCAGGCCAGCAUCGGUUUGGGCGGUUGGAUAAAGGCCUUGGGAAUGUGGCUCCUCUCGGGGAGUGUUAUAGCCCUCGGUGCAAUGCAGCCUGUCCGGACCGAGGACCGCGCUUCGGCUAGGAUGCUGGCGUAAUGGUUGUAAGCGACCCGUCUUGAAACACGGACCAAGGAGUCUAACAUCUAUGCGAGUGUUUGGGUGUCAAACCCAUGCGCGUAAUGAAAGUGAACGGAGGUGAGAACCCUUAAGGGUGCAUCAUCGACCGAUCCUGAUGUCUUCGGAUGGAUUUGAGUAAGAGCAUAGCUGUUGGGACCCGAAAGAUGGUGAACUAUGCCUGAAUAGGGUGAAGCCAGAGGAAACUCUGGUGGAGGCUCGCAGCGGUUCUGACGUGCAAAUCGAUCGUCAAAUUUGGGUAUAGGGGCGAAAGACUAAUCGAACCAUCUAGUAACUGGUUCCUGCCGAAGUUUCCCUCAGGAUAGCAGUGUUGAAUUCAGUUUUAUGAGGUAAAGCGAACGAUUAGAGGCCUUGGGGUUGAAACAACCUUAACCUAUUCUCAAACUUUAAAUAUGUAAGAAGUCC
This 662-nucleotide ribosomal RNA is filed under the name uncultured Ascomycota. RNAcentral describes it as "LSU rRNA". It matches the Rfam family "Eukaryotic large subunit ribosomal RNA", at positions 399 to 1083 of the family's 3401-position model. Lineage: Eukaryota; Fungi; Ascomycota. The record is from RNAcentral.